This is a non-coding RNA of Podarcis lilfordi (Lilford's wall lizard), 75 nucleotides long. The record is from the annotation of a GenBank genome assembly. NCBI's taxonomy places the organism in Eukaryota, Metazoa, Chordata, Lepidosauria, Squamata, Lacertidae.
ACUCUCGGUAGCUCAGCUGAUAAGAGCAUGAAACUCUUAAUCUUCGGGUGGUGGGUUCAAGUCCCAUAUGAGGCA